GACGUAGGGCGCGAGCGUUGUCCGGAUUUAUUGGGCGUAAAGAGCUCGUAGGCGGCUUGUCGCGUCGUUCGUGAAAACCUGCAGCUCAACUGCAGGCUUGCGGUCGAUACGGGCAGGCUAGAGUUCGGUAGGGGAGACUGGAAUUCCUGGUGUAGCGGUGAAAUGCGCAGAUAUCAGGAGGAACACCGAUGGCGAAGGCAGGUCUCUGGGCCACUACUGACGCUGAGAAGCGAAAGCGUGGGGAGCGAACAGG
Molecule: ribosomal RNA, 253 nt
Filed under: uncultured bacterium
Lineage: Bacteria
Description: partial 16S ribosomal RNA
Rfam family: Bacterial small subunit ribosomal RNA
Source: RNAcentral